CCUACGGGUGGCAGCAGUGGGGAAUAUUGCACAAUGGGGGAAACCCUGAUGCAGCGACGCCGCGUGAGUGAAGAAGUAUUUCGGUAUGUAAAGCUCUAUCAGCAGGGAAGAGAAUGACGGUACCUGAGUAAGAAGCCCCGGCUAACUACGUGCCAGCAGCCGCGGUAAUACGUAGGGGGCAAGCGUUAUCCGGAUUUACUGGGUGUAAAGGGAGCGUAGACGGCGAAGAAAGUCUGAAGUGAAAGCCCGCGGCUCAACCGCGGAACUGCUUUGGAAACUUUUUUGCUGGAGUGCAGGAGAGGUAAGUGGAAUUCCCGGUGUAGCGGUGGAAUGCGUAGAUAUCGGGAGGAACACCAGAGGCGAAGGCGACUUACUGGACUGUAACUGACGCUGAGGCUCGAAAGCGUGGGGAGCAAACAGGAUUAGAUACUCGAGUAGUC
This 440-nucleotide ribosomal RNA is filed under the name uncultured bacterium. RNAcentral describes it as "partial 16S ribosomal RNA". It matches the Rfam family "Bacterial small subunit ribosomal RNA", at positions 338 to 795 of the family's 1533-position model. The record is from RNAcentral.